This 253-nucleotide ribosomal RNA is filed under the name uncultured bacterium. RNAcentral's name for it is "partial 16S ribosomal RNA". It matches the Rfam family "Bacterial small subunit ribosomal RNA", at positions 524 to 776 of the family's 1533-position model. The record is from RNAcentral.
UACAGAGGCCCCGAGCGUUAAUCGGAAUCACUGGGCUUAAAGGGUGCGUAGGCGGGUCAGUAAGCGCUUUGUGAAAUCCCACGGCUCAACCGUGGAACCGCAGGGCGAACUGCUGAUCUUGAGGAAGCUAGAGGCUGGUAGAACGAUAGGUGGAGCGGUGGAAUGCGUAGAGAUCUAUCGGAAUGCCGAAAGUGAAGACAGCCAGCUGGGGCUUUCCUGACGCUAAAGCACGAAAGCGUGGGGAGCAAACCGG